Long non-coding RNA from Hemibagrus wyckioides, 3581 nucleotides. RefSeq lists it as uncharacterized. The transcript has 4 exons. Lineage: Eukaryota; Metazoa; Chordata; Actinopteri; Siluriformes; Bagridae. The record is from RefSeq and is a predicted model, not a curated record.
ACUUCCGUGAAAUUGAAGCUGAGAAACCAGAAGAUUACAGACAUGUCCAGGAGACACCAACAAUCUGAGGAUGCAGAAUGUCUGAUAAGUGAUGAUAAAGGACAUUUUGGAUCUUUAUCACAGUUACUGUCUUGAUCAUUAUUGUACGCUGGUUUUGCGUAUGUGUGUGAAGGCAACCACCUAUAUAGAUAUUGUUUAGUACGACUAAGAAUGUGUUGUGAUUGAAGGAAAUGUUUCCCUUUAAUUCUAGAUAUGUAGAAAUGCACAGAUAAACAGGAACAGUCUCCUGAAUCAUUAUCGCCAAAAUUUCUAACAUUGAUUUAUAGAUUUUUAGAAAAAGAUUCCUUUUGAUUCUGGUUCCUCUUCAUUUAUUAUCAAAACAUUGUUAGCACGGUGUAUUAUUAAGUGUUUCUGAAAGGGAGCUAACCACCCUGCAUCCACCACACCUUACAUCAAUAGAUGAAGUGGAGAAGAAUGGAAUGGCGAAUGCCAUAUGAUGUCAAAAAACACUGAUGCUUAAGGUUCAGAGAAAACGGAAUACAUUUCAGGUUACAGCGCGACGUGACUUUCGGGUUUUAUUGCAACAUGCCACCUUCACGUGCUAUCAAAAUGAUCUUAAUUACCAGUUUAUCUUGUCAGAAUGUUAAACAUAAGCCACAUCAGGAUCAUUCAAAGAGGAAUGUAAAAUGCCAUUACACAAUCUUACCUUUACUUCAUAAAUAAUCUGGCUUAGUGGUUAGCGCAUUCGCCACACCUCCAGCGUCCUGGGUUCAAGUCUCGCUGCCACUCACUGUGUACAGUGUGGAGUUUGCAUGUUCUCCCUGUGCUUGGUGGGUUUCCUCCUGCAGUCCAAAGACAUGCUUCUAGGUUGAUUGGAGUCUCUAAAUUGCCCGUUGUGUGUGCCCUGUGUUGGGUUGGCACUCCGUCCAGGGUUUAUCUUGCCUUGAUGUCUGAGGCACAGGCUCCCCGUGACCCGAGGAUAGAUUGGAUAUGCGGUACAGGCAAUGAAAUGAAAAAUAAAGUUUAAAAAAUGAUCAAAGAAGGAGAAAAAAGACCACUGUUUUUAGAAUAUUACAACAAGAAAACAAAUAAGAGAAAGCAUUUCAAAUGCUUGCUGAAGAGAUGUGUCAACACAGCACAGAGAAACACCCUCAGUAAAGCUCUUCCUUCUAAACUUGGAUGAGUCAUGUCACUCUUGAAGCCUGAAGGUACGUAGGUAGGGUUUUGCCCAAAUUUGGAAUUGUUGGUGAGCUUUCCUGUACGAAGAUGAUUGGCUGACGACCGAUAGAAAACGAAUCGGCUUCAUUUUCUCUGUGAUACUUGUCAAGAGAAGGAAAUGGUUUCCACAUAUUUUUACCGGACUCUACAAAAAAUCUUCAAACAAAAUAGUAAUGAAAGUGCAUAUUUAGAUGCACAGCCUAAUAAUAGAUCAGAUCCACCAUGGCUUAAGAAGGACAUUAUAGAGAAAUAUACUGAUCAACUAGAAUCUACAAAUGGCCCAGUAGUUUAUAAAAAUGGAGAAGUUUUAGAAUAUAAAGCCAACAUGGAGCUACUGAUUCAACACAAAAUACCUUGUGUAAUAAUCACUAAGUUUGAUGCUUUGAAAUUUGUAAAUUUUAUUCCAAAUGGACUCGGCUGUUAUUAUGGUUACGGUUAUGUCUUGACUGCUUUACAUGUAGUUAAGCCUCCACGUUUCGGGAAGUCUAAAAUACUCAUUGCUUUCCCUACUGAAGACUUUAUACUGGUCUACAAGGCUGAUUUUAAUCAAUCUUGUAACACUGAUGCAGAUCGAGAUCUGGCUUUUGUUAAGUUACGGGGCAACACUCAUCCACUUGGUGAUGGUUUACAUAAUCAGAUUGCUAAUAUGAAUGUAAAUGACAAUAUUUACUUUCAUACCCGGGCCCUUAAUGGGAAUUUUCAGAAGCAGGAGGGUGAAGUAUAUAAAAAGAUGACGAAACCUGAUAUGUUUGCAAUAUCUGUAGCAGGUAAACCUGGAGACAGUGGCUCACCUAUUUUCAACUCGAAACAUGAACUGGUUGCCAUAUAUCGAGGUGGCUUUCAGAAUUCUGAAUUUGGCCACUGUUCUAAAAUUCCUCAAAACUUUACACCCUGGGUCCAAAGUCUUAGACUUAGUUCAUACUUCUUGCAUAAAUGGCAGUUGUUCCUAUGCUUUUUGAGUAAAAUUGGUGAUGAACCCCUGUAGCCACUUAUCUGAUCUCAAAUUUCUGGAAAAAAAAAAAAAAAUUUAACCAAAAAAACCUGCUCCUGCUUUUUUCCCCUCUCAUGGCUUGUCUCCCUCUUUCUAUCUUAGGUCGCCUUGCCUGAGCAUUUUGUUUUUCUGAGUGUGUGACUAUGUGACUGUGUGUGUGUGUCUGUGUGUGUGUGUGUGUACGUAUACGAACACGCCCAACACGUGAGCCAAAGCGAACCACUGUACAGAAGCCUUCUAUACUUUUGAAAGUUUUGAAAAGUUGUUAAAAAGCUUGCGUCAAAGUGCAAACCCGCUGAGUUUCACCUGAUGACAGCUGCUGGCAUGAGCCGCCCUCUAAACUCUUCCUCUGUGUCUGAAAGACAUGGACUCCUGGUCUGGAUGAUGUGGAAGAUGAACCUGGAGAUGCUCAAGAGUGUCUGGCUCACGUGUCUCUCACACACACACACACACACACAGAACACUCAGGCUUGGCUCACUAAUACAGAAAGAGUCAGAACACCUUGGUAGAUAAGUAGAUCACCGUUAUUAACUCUUUCUUAUUACUUAUAGGGCCAUUUUCAGGUUUGUGUAUCAGUUUCUCUAUUACAUGGCAAUUUCUCAAGUUCUCAAAUCAGUUGCUUAAACAUUUUCUUUAACCCUCCUGGAAAUCUGAUGCCGCAAAAUGUGUAGUUGUCCCCAUUAAAUUAGACAAAUUGGACAAAAAAUGACGUGAAAAAGAAUGUCAAACAUAUAUUUAGAGACAUUAAACAAAAAAACAAACAAAAAAGGUAUUUUAUAAGAAUUUUGAUUUUGCCUAAACAAAAACAGUAUACAAAAUUAAAAUCUCCCUUGCUAAAAUUAAACUACAUUACAAAAACAUAGUUUAUUUUUUUUUUAAAUAUAAUAUUAUUAUUAUUAUUAUUAUGUUGAGGAAGGCAGGUCCAUGUAUGUAUGAUCAUCUGGAAACCAUUUCCUCCUCUAUUAUACCUGACGGCUACCCAGGGUGAGGUGCUCAAAUUUAAAUUUUCCGGAAAAAAUCCUCACCUUUACUUAACUGGAUAGAAGACACCUGGAUGCAGAAGAUUUCUCUCUACAAAAUGCUGCUGUAAUCGUCAUCACUGCAGUCGUCACUUCGGCACAUUUAGUCCAUUUAGUCCAUUACUCUUCUCCAUCUGUGGACUGUAAUGAUUCUAAUCGCAUCAUCUGGUGUCACCCAUAAGAGGAUGGGGUCCCUUUUGAGCCUGGUUCCUCUCAAGGUUUCUUCCUCAUGUCAUCUCAGGGAGUUGUUCCUUGCCACCGUCGCCUCAGGCUUGCUCAUAAGGGAUUUUAAUCUAUAUCCAGAAUCCUGUAACAGAAAAAGAAUUGUACGAAUAAAUUUAAGCUGAAUUGA